Molecule: long non-coding RNA, 646 nt
Filed under: Homo sapiens (human)
Lineage: Eukaryota; Metazoa; Chordata; Mammalia; Primates; Hominidae
Description: non-protein coding lnc-POFUT2-4:1
Source: RNAcentral
GGGAGCAGCCACCCAGCGGGAUGUACAGGACCUUGGGGGCCCCCAACCCCACAGGGAGGUCACCCACCUUCAUUUCAGCCUCCAACUGAAGAAAGUCAAACGGAAACUGCCCUGCAAGAGAGAGACAGGCGGGGUCUCGCUGAGGUGGUGUCUGACAGCGCCGGGUUCCCUCUGCAGCCCCCAGCACUGGACUCGGUGGUGGUUUUUCUAGACUGCCCUUCCAUCUGGUGACUUCGGUACAUUGACUUACUCAUCCUGAGAGUUCACCUGCAGAUCCACUUGUGGGGCUUACGUGGGAGACGUGCUGAGAAAAGAGCAACGCGCUUCUUUCCUCCCAGCGUCCUGCCCUUCCCAUCUCUCCUCUGCCUCCUCCCAGGGUGGGCAGGCAGCUGUGUCUUGGCCCUGACUUGAGGGUCCCUCCACCCUCUCCAAGGGUGAAGCUGUGGCAGUUCCAGGUGGCUCCUUCCAGACCACGGAGGAGCCCUUUGCUGAAAUCCCUGCUUGUUGCUGCUUCUCUCCUUUUCCUCAGUCCCGGCAGAGGUGCAGGAAUGUUGUUCGCCUUUGCAAAGAAUUAACUUUGGAUUUUUGGACUUUCUUGAUCCUUGCUAUUUUUAUAUAUAAAACAUACGCAAUUUCUCUUCACUCA